This is a long non-coding RNA of Hyposmocoma kahamanoa, 554 nucleotides long. RefSeq lists it as uncharacterized. The transcript has 6 exons. Lineage: Eukaryota; Metazoa; Arthropoda; Insecta; Lepidoptera; Cosmopterigidae. The record is from RefSeq and is a predicted model, not a curated record.
UUGUAGGACAUUUAUUUGGGUUGAUGAUGAUGACAAUUAUAAGCAACAAAUUAAACAAUUUACUAAUAUCUUUCCUUAAUGGCGGUGACAGUGUCACUUUUGUAAAAAUAAUAUAAAAAUUAUGGCGAUCGUUGCCAAUUGUUUUCAGACUACCGAUACACGCAAAUCAUCCAGAAUUAUUUCCAAAAUGAUAAAAAAUGUGAUGAUAUUUGGCGCUGGAUUGUAUACAGGAGUGUAUAUAGCACAAAACUAUCAGGCACAUUGUACAUGCAAGAAGAAUGGAUAGCUAUCAUUUGAGCCGAUAAAGACCUUUUUAAACCACUUGGAUUAUAUGACAGAUCAGGAUACAAUUGCCACAAUCGUUCCGAAAAAUGUACAAGACUGUGACAGAGGUCUAGUAAGAGCUGAUUGAUAAAGUGGAAGACCCAAAGGCGCUCCUAGAAAAAGCACAAGCAUAUAUUAAAUCUAAAACAGAUGGUAGCAAAUAGAUAUAAAUUAUAAUCUGACUAACUGAACAUACAAUGUAAUAAAAACGUUAAGAAGUAAUGAACAUU